CCUACGGUAGGCAGCAGUGGGGGAUAUUGCACAAUGGGGGAAACCCUGAUGCAGCGACGCCGCGUGUGGGAAGACGGUCCUCUGGAUUGUAAACCACUGUCCCCAGGGAAGAAGAUGACGGUACCUGGGGAGGAAGCUCCGGCUAACUACGUGCCAGCAGCCGCGGUAAUACGUAGGGAGCGAGCGUUGUCCGGAAUUACUGGGUGUAAAGGGAGCGUAGGCGGGACUGCAAGUUGGGUGUCAAAUCUACCGGCUCAACCGGUAGCCGCACUCAAAACUGCAGUUCUUGAGUGAAGUAGAGGCAGGCGGAAUUCCUAGUGUAGCGGUGAAAUGCGUAGAUAUUAGGAGGAACACCAGUGGCGAAGGCGGCCUGCUGGGCUUUUACUGACGCUGAGGCUCGAAAGUGUGGGGAGCAAACAGGAUUAGAUACCCGAGUAGUC
RNAcentral lists this ribosomal RNA (440 nucleotides) under uncultured bacterium. RNAcentral describes it as "partial 16S ribosomal RNA". It matches the Rfam family "Bacterial small subunit ribosomal RNA", at positions 338 to 795 of the family's 1533-position model. The record is from RNAcentral.